Meriones unguiculatus (Mongolian gerbil) is the source of this 1153-nucleotide long non-coding RNA. RefSeq lists it as uncharacterized. The record is from RefSeq and is a predicted model, not a curated record. NCBI's taxonomy places the organism in Eukaryota, Metazoa, Chordata, Mammalia, Rodentia, Muridae. The transcript is spliced from 3 exons.
AUGAAGCUGUUGCAAAGGCUCCGGGAUUGCUUUAGACCUUUGGUGUCUUGAUUCCGCUCUAAUACAAGCAGAACACAGGUCUGGAAGCAAUGUGGUGCUGAACAAUUAACCAUGCACACAGCCUGGGAACAGCUUCCAAAGAGCUCUUCAAAGCCUCUAACAAAGGGCUCAAGGCAAUGCAACAGACACUGCUAAGAUCUGCCAAGGAGCUCACUGAUGAAUAAGACGUGGUUCCUGUGUUUUCACAAAACUGUUGAGAAAACAAAACACAUCCCCACCCUGACCAGGCCAUUAAGAAUUUAUCUGGAGCAGAGAGCUGCUGUCUACUUUUGGGAAGAGCUUUUCACCUGAAUUUGAAUGAUCAGUCAGGUUCGAGAGCUACAAAUUCAGGAACAGCGAACAAUGGGGACAGAAAUGUUUAUGGCUGAAAAUGGAGGAUAGUCUGAAGUACUAUCCAAACUGGAAAAGCCUCCUCCUUCACAGUGAGAGGACCUUCAGGAAAGAGCAACUGUAUUCAACCUCCAGGACACCUGGGGAAAGAGCAACUGUUGCAUCAUGGACGUAUUUAACACAGAUGUUUAGAAGUUACUACAGGAAAACAUUGUGAUGGUGACCUUUAAUUAUCAACUUGAGACAGUCUAGAGUCACUCAGGAAGGAUUGUGUAGAUCUGGUUGGACUGUGGGCAUUUGUUGGGGAUCAUCUAGAACAGCGCUUCUCAACCCUCUUCAUGUUGCUACCCUUUAGUGCAGUUCCUCAUGUUGUGGUGACCCCUCCCCCCAACCAUAAAAUUAUUUCUUUGCUACUUCAUAACUAAUUUUGCUACUGCUAUGAGUCAUAAUGUAAAUAUCUGAUAUGCAGAAUAUGUGGCAUGCAACCCCCAAUGGGUCACGACCCACAUGUUGAGAGCCACUGUUUUAUGUUUUGUUAGUCAAGGUAAGGGAUCCUGAACUAUGGAGUGUGGACAAAGUGAGCUGAGUACAGCAAGCAUUCAUGCAUUACUCUGUGUUCAUGAUUAUGAGUGCCUUGUGACCAAGUCCUCCAAGUUCCUGGCAGUGUGACUUCCCCACUUGGACGGACAGUAACCUGAAUCUAGAGCUAAAAUACUUUUCUCCCAUAAGCUGCUUUUAUUUUAUCACACUAGUGGAAAACAAC